Monomorium pharaonis (pharaoh ant) is the source of this 1116-nucleotide long non-coding RNA. RefSeq lists it as uncharacterized. Lineage: Eukaryota; Metazoa; Arthropoda; Insecta; Hymenoptera; Formicidae. The record is from RefSeq and is a predicted model, not a curated record. The transcript has 2 exons.
UUUACAAUAAUUUAUUUAUUUAAACUUUUAAUUAAUUAUUAUUAUUGUUUUUCCAGAAAUAAGAAUAAUAUAAUUCUCUCUAUCGAUUUUAACAUAAUUGAAGAAAUUUAUCAAUUGGAUCAGUUUGUUUGAAUGUAAUAAGGUUAAAGUGCUGAAAUCAGCGAUUGUGUGAAAUCAGCCGACCAACAAAAAUGUGACAUAAAAGAGAUCGCUUACAACGCACAUAAAAAAGCAUAGUAUAAUUCUUUCUACCGAUUUUAACAUAAUUGAAGAGAUUUAUCAAUUGGAUCAAUUCGUUUGAAUGUAAUAAGAUUAAAGUGCUGAAAUCAGCGAUUGUACCAACAAAAAUGUGACAUAAAAGAGAUUGCUUACAACGCACAUGUAAUAAUAAAAUUAUUUAUAUAUAACUAUAUAUUUAAAUAUAGUGUAAUAAUCGUGAUUAUGUAUAAUUACAUAUAAACAACUUUAAAUAACAACAACAACAAAACAACAUAAAAAUAAUUUUUUUAAACAUAAAAAUAAUUUUUUUUAAGUCAUUUAAAAAAUUGUUUUAUUUAUUUUUCAUGUAUAUAUGAAUAAAGAUUAUACAAAAACUAUAUAGAUAUCUAUAAACAUAUUAUAUAUACUUAUAUGUAUAUGUUAUUUUUAUGUAAAAAUUUUUUUAACAAAAGCGUAAUUUAUUACUUCAUAAAUUCAUGAUUAAAAAAACAUUUAAUCUAUUGUUUGCUGUAUUUAUCUCAAAAUAAACGUUAAACAUUUACAAUUUGUGAUUAAACCAGCUUAUUUUCAUUGAGUUAAAUAAAUAAAUAAUAUAACCAUAUUAGUACUUUAAUUCUAACCUACCAUAAUAUGUUAAACAUAUCAAUAAGUUGUAAAUCGCCUAACGGUCUGUAUCGGAUCUUAGUGAUGGAUAUAAUUCUUUUAUUAAAUUUAAUUUUCUUAGCUUUAUUUUAAACUGCGCGCCGACAGGAUUUAUCAGAUUUAAGACACAGUUACUAAGCUAAAUUUCGAUGCUCAAGAACAUCUUAAAAUUUUCCUUUCCCACCUUCCUCGAAAAACUGUAAAUUAAUUUAUUAUAUAUAGAAUUUAUUAUAUUUAUUUAUUAUAUAAAUAAUA